AGAACGAACGCUGGCGGCAUGCCUAACACAUGCAAGUCGAACGAGACCUUCGGGUCUAGUGGCGCACGGGUGCGUAACGCGUGGGAAUCUGCCCUUGGGUUCGGAAUAACAGCGAGAAAUUGCUGCUAAUACCGGAUGAUGACGUAAGUCCAAAGAUUUAUCGCCCAAGGAUGAGCCCGCGUAAGAUUAGCUUGUUGGUGAGGUAAAAGCUCACCAAGGCGACGAUCGUGUAGCUGGUUUGAGAGAACGACCAGCCACACUGGACUGAGACACGGCCCAGACUCCUACGGGAGGCAGCAGGUGGGAAUUUGGACAAUGGCGAAAGCCUAGAUCAGCAA
Molecule: ribosomal RNA, 338 nt
Filed under: uncultured soil bacterium
Lineage: Bacteria
Description: bacterial SSU rRNA
Rfam family: Bacterial small subunit ribosomal RNA
Source: RNAcentral